GACGAACGCUGGCUGCGUGCUUAACACAUGCAAGUCGAACGCUGAAGCCCGCAGCUUGCUGUGGGUGGAUGAGUGGCGAACGGGUGAGUAACACGUGAGUAACCUGCCCCUGACUUCGGGAUAAGCCCGGGAAACUGGGUCUAAUACCGGAGACGACCAUCGGACGCAUGUCUGGUGGUGGAAAGUUUUUUCGGUUGGGGAUGGGCUCGCGGCCUAUCAGUUUGUUGGUGAGGGAAUGGCUCACCAAGAAGAAGACGGGUAGCCGGCCUGAGGUGGCGACCGGCCACACUGGGACUGAGACACGGCCCAGACUCCUACGGGAGGCAGCAGUGGGGAAUAUUGCACAAUGGGGGAAACCCUGAUGCAGCGACGCAGCGUGCGGGAUGACGGCCUUCGGGUUGUAAACCGCUUUCAGCGGGGAAGAAGCGAAAGUGACGGUACCUGCAGAAGAAGUACCGGCUAACUACGUGCCAGCCGCCGCUGUAA
Molecule: ribosomal RNA, 486 nt
Filed under: uncultured bacterium
Lineage: Bacteria
Description: partial 16S ribosomal RNA
Rfam family: Bacterial small subunit ribosomal RNA
Source: RNAcentral